GACGAACGCUGGCGGCGUGCUUAACACAUGCAAGUCGAACGGAAAGGCCCUGCUUUUGUUGGGUGCUCGAGUGGCGAACGGGUGAGUAACACGUGAGUAACCUGCCCUUGACUUUGGGAUAACUUCAGGAAACUGGGGCUAAUACCGGAUAGGAGCUCCUGCUGCAUGGUGGGGGUUGGAAAGUUUCGGCGGUUGGGGAUGGACUCGCGGCUUAUCAGCUUGUUGGUGGGGUAGUGGCUUACCAAGGCUUUGACGGGUAGCCGGCCUGAGAGGGUGACCGGCCACAUUGGGACUGAGAUACGGCCCAGACUCCUACGGGAGGCAGCAGUGGGGAAUAUUGCACAAUGGGCGGAAGCCUGAUGCAGCAACGCCGCGUGCGGGAUGACGGCCUGCGGGUUGUAAACCGCUUUCGCCUGUGACGAAGCGUGAGUGACGGUAAUGGGUAAAGAAGCACCGGCUAACUACGUG
Molecule: ribosomal RNA, 468 nt
Filed under: uncultured bacterium
Lineage: Bacteria
Description: partial 16S ribosomal RNA
Rfam family: Bacterial small subunit ribosomal RNA
Source: RNAcentral